RNAcentral lists this unclassified non-coding RNA (542 nucleotides) under Hevea brasiliensis (rubber tree). Lineage: Eukaryota; Viridiplantae; Streptophyta; Magnoliopsida; Malpighiales; Euphorbiaceae. The record is from RNAcentral.
GAGCCAGAAAAUGACAUGCUUAUUUCCACACAAACACCGUUUAAUACAAAUAUGCAGAACCCCUAAACAGAGGAGAUAAUGUGUUAUUAUGCUGCGGAGUACUGAUAGCAUAUGCCAUAAAUCGGCAUGUUUUAAUAUCAGCAUCCAAGUGACUAGUAUUAGCUACUGAUAAUUGAAAAUCAACAAAAGAACAAACAGGUCGUUUCAAAUUCAGCCACCAUAGGAACAAUAGUCGAGCAGUAGCCGCUAUUUAUUCCUUCUUCCCUAUGCCAUGAGACAUGUUGUAGAUCCCUCUCCCAAUCAUAAACAAAGCAGAAGCAGCCAAAGCAGCUGGAAUGGCCACUGAGGUGACCUUGUCAAAACGACCUUUCAAGUAUGUGUGCUUGUGGACGCUUUGGUAAAACUUUUGCUUCUCAACAAGCUUUUCUCUGGGAUAGAAAGGUGCUUCUUCUGACAUCUUGGCAAGCGACGGAGAGAAAGCUGAAGACGAUGAGCAGGGAGUCGUCGAUGAAGAAAAUCAAUUAGUUGAAUCGAAGCUAAAA